GACAUAUAAUGGCUUAAGCUGCUGUACAAGAUACAAGUAAAAGGACAUUAAACCUCACUGCUGUGGCCAGACUCACUGGUCAUCAGGGUCUAACACAUGGUGUGUCUUUGAGGGGCUGAGUCACACGAGCAGAGCCCAAUAAAUUAAAAAGCAGUGUACAACCAGCCUGAAGCAAUGGGUAGCACUUCUGACAAAUGCCUGCAGUAGCUCAUGUCCCGUGAGAAGAUUUAUCUCCAGACCUACAGGUUCCCUUCAGGAACACUCCAGGGACACUUUCACCAGCACCACCAUCUAAUAUUAGUUUUAUUACAGGCAGAGAACAGAGAGAGCUGCCAAAGAGGAGAUCAAGGGAUGGGUUGAUGUUCAACCAGAGGAGAAUUUAACAGUCCAAGACAGUGGUUAAUUUUUCAAGCAAAAAAACGAAUAACCUGCUCAAACAUGAAUGAGAAAAUCUGAGUCUCAGCCAGUUUUUAUUGGAAAAUAUCAGUAGAAACAUGGAAAAAUCUUGGAAAGAAGCGUCUAUAUAAGAGGAGUUUUGUUGUGCUGCCCCCUCUGAUGGUGGAGGGAAGCUCAGAGCACUGGAGCCAAAGCAGGGCCAGGAGCAGGAGCAAAGGGAAGAGGAAGAGGAUGUUGAGGCAGGAGGCAGGUGCAGGUGCAGUUCCUCACACAAACCCCACUGGCAAUUGGAAACUAGAAUAAACCCUUCUUUUCAGCUCGUGGAAGCUGGAUAUCUAACCCUCUAGAAGAAAAAAUGGCUAUUUAGACCUUGACUUUUUUUAAAUUGCCUUGAAAAUCUCACUAAUUGAGUAAAUAAAAUAUUCAGUCCUAAAAUUUAGUUUAAAUGUUGUGAGCUUUGUGUGUGUGUUUGUGAUUGU
Long non-coding RNA from Pseudopipra pipra, 875 nucleotides. RefSeq lists it as uncharacterized. The transcript has 4 exons. NCBI's taxonomy places the organism in Eukaryota, Metazoa, Chordata, Aves, Passeriformes, Pipridae. The record is from RefSeq and is a predicted model, not a curated record.